RNAcentral lists this long non-coding RNA (659 nucleotides) under Androctonus crassicauda. The record is from RNAcentral. Lineage: Eukaryota; Metazoa; Arthropoda; Arachnida; Scorpiones; Buthidae.
UGCAUCGUAUACAUUAGAUUUUAUGGGCUUCCAAGUAAAACAGGGUUCAACUCUCCCGAACUCACUCUAUAUUACAAUAUUUCUGCAUAGGAAACUCUCCCCUCUCCUUAAAUUGGAUCGAUAUGGUUUGCCAGUAAAUAAUUCGUCGUUUCUAGUUAGGGGAACAUAAGAAACAUUAUAGUGAUAAGAAUUAUAUGGAUUCGAGCUAAUGUCACCAUUAAAGGAUUUUUCAGAACAAAUGAAAGUGAAAUUUGAUUGGUACAUUUCCAAUGACUUUGUGAGGACGCUGCAACGGAUUACGUCGGAUGGAUCGAGUUGUCAAUUCAUAAUAGUGUCGCAAUUCCCGCAGCUGACGGUUCUUAAGGUUAAAUCGUCAGUCCUGACACAAAAUUAUUUUACGUAUCCGUAUACAUAUUUAUACGUAUACGUAUGUAUACGUACGUAUUUAUUAUUUUACGUAUCCCAGUACGUGAAAACGUUAUCAAUUUAGAAUGAAGUUGCACGUUUAAAAUGAAGCCGAAUUUGGAAUAUAGGUGGGUGAGAAAGUUGCACAGGGAUCCAGAAUGAACGAUUGACCUGAACAUAAUAUAAGCGAAAACAAUUUAUUUACAGCAAUCUAGCAAUUUAUAAUAAUAUAAGAGUCUACAAUCUACAAAAAU